AAAAAUGCUUAGAUUAAGAGGAGUAAUACUUUAAAAAGCACGUAGAAAGAAAAUCCUUGGCUGAAAGAUUUUCCUUUGAAAAGUAUGAAGGUAGCUUAUGAGCUGAAUUUUUUUCGGUUAGUGAACGUUAUCUCACUUUAAGUGACAGUGUUUUAAAUACGCUGUAAUCUAGGUGGUACCGCGAGCAAUUCGUCCUAAAG
RNAcentral lists this non-coding RNA (200 nucleotides) under Vagococcus fluvialis. RNAcentral's name for it is "T-box sequence". It matches the Rfam family "T-box leader". Rfam says of the family: Uncharged tRNA acts as the effector for transcription antitermination of genes in the T-box leader family. T-boxes are found upstream of many aminoacyl-tRNA synthetase genes and some amino acid biosynthetic genes usually in Gram-positive bacteria. Lineage: Bacteria; Bacillati; Bacillota; Bacilli; Lactobacillales; Enterococcaceae. The record is from RNAcentral.